RNAcentral lists this ribosomal RNA (482 nucleotides) under Pseudomonadaceae bacterium 'ARUP UnID 557'. Its description in RNAcentral is "bacterial SSU rRNA". It matches the Rfam family "Bacterial small subunit ribosomal RNA", at positions 27 to 504 of the family's 1533-position model. The record is from RNAcentral. Lineage: Bacteria; Pseudomonadati; Pseudomonadota; Gammaproteobacteria; Pseudomonadales; Pseudomonadaceae.
GAUUGAACGCUGGCGGCAGGCCUAACACAUGCAAGUCGAGCGGCAGCGGGUCCUUCGGGAUGCCGGCGAGCGGCGGACGGGUGAGUAAUGCCUAGGAAUCUGCCUAUUAGUGGGGGAUAACUCGGGGAAACUCGAGCUAAUACCGCAUACGUCCUACGGGAGAAAGUGGGGGAUCUUCGGACCUCACGCUAAUAGAUGAGCCUAGGUCGGAUUAGCUAGUUGGUGAGGUAACGGCUCACCAAGGCGACGAUCCGUAGCUGGUCUGAGAGGAUGAUCAGCCACACUGGAACUGAGACACGGUCCAGACUCCUACGGGAGGCAGCAGUGGGGAAUAUUGGACAAUGGGCGAAAGCCUGAUCCAGCCAUGCCGCGUGUGUGAAGAAGGUCUUCGGAUUGUAAAGCACUUUAAGUUGGGAGGAAGGGCUUGUGGCUAAUAUCCACGAGUUUUGACGUUACCAACAGAAUAAGCACCGGCUAACUCU